GAAUAUUGGACAAUGGGGGGAACCCUGAUCCAGCCAUGCCGCGUGUGUGAAGAAGGCCUUUUGGUUGUAAAGCACUUUAAGCGAGGAGGAGGAGCUCUUGGUUAAUACCCAAGAUGCUUGGACGUUACUCGCAGAAUAAGCACCGGCUAACCCUGUGCCAGCAGCCGCGGUAAUACAGAGGGUGCAAGCGUUAAGCGGAUUUACUGGGCGUAAAGCGCGCGUAGGUGGUUUGUUAAGUUGGAUGUGAAAUCCCCGGGCUCAACCUGGGAACUGCAUCCAAAACUGGCAAGCUAGAGUAUGGUAGAGGGUGGUGGAAUUCCAGGUGUAGCGGUGAAAUGCGUAGAGAUCUGGAGGAAUACCGAUGGCGAAGGCAGCCAUCUGGCCUAAUACUGACACUGAGGUGCGAAAGCAUGGGGAGCAAACA
Molecule: ribosomal RNA, 424 nt
Filed under: uncultured bacterium
Lineage: Bacteria
Description: bacterial SSU rRNA
Rfam family: Bacterial small subunit ribosomal RNA
Source: RNAcentral